AGAACGAACGCUGGCGGCAUGCCUAAUACAUGCAAGUCGAACGAACUCUUCGGAGUUAGUGGCGCACGGGUGCGUAACGCGUGGGAAUCUGCCCCUUGGUUCGGAAUAACAGUUGGAAACGACUGCUAAUACCGGAUGAUGACGAAAGUCCAAAGAUUUAUCGCCAAGGGAUGAGCCCGCGUAGGAUUAGCUAGUUGGUGAGGUAAAGGCUCACCAAGGCAACGAUCCUUAGCUGGUCUGAGAGGAUGAUCAGCCACACGUGGGACUGAGACGACGGCCCAGGACUCCGU
RNAcentral lists this ribosomal RNA (290 nucleotides) under uncultured soil bacterium. Its description in RNAcentral is "partial 16S ribosomal RNA". It matches the Rfam family "Bacterial small subunit ribosomal RNA", at positions 26 to 341 of the family's 1533-position model. The record is from RNAcentral.